AGGGCUGUAGUUAAGAAUAACAUUUGUUUUGCAUACAAAAGGUAUUGAUUUAUCAAUCUGCCUU
This 64-nucleotide transfer RNA is filed under the name Caenis robusta. RNAcentral describes it as "tRNA-Ala". It matches the Rfam family "tRNA". From Rfam's summary of the family: Transfer RNA (tRNA) molecules are approximately 80 nucleotides in length. Their secondary structure includes four short double-helical elements and three loops (D, anti-codon, and T loops). Further hydrogen bonds mediate the characteristic L-shaped molecular structure. tRNAs have two regions of fundamental functional importance: the anti-codon, which is responsible for specific mRNA codon recognition, and the 3' end, to which the tRNAs corresponding amino acid is attached (by aminoacyl-tRNA synthetases). tRNAs cope with the degeneracy of the genetic code in two manners: having more than one tRNA (with a specific anti-codon) for a particular amino acid; and 'wobble' base-pairing, i.e. permitting non-standard base-pairing at the 3rd anti-codon position. The record is from RNAcentral. Lineage: Eukaryota; Metazoa; Arthropoda; Insecta; Ephemeroptera; Caenidae.